Molecule: unclassified non-coding RNA, 387 nt
Filed under: Melitaea cinxia (Glanville fritillary)
Lineage: Eukaryota; Metazoa; Arthropoda; Insecta; Lepidoptera; Nymphalidae
Description: misc RNA ENSMCXG00005022445.1
Source: RNAcentral
UUUAACCGACUUCUAAAAAAGGAGGAGGUUCUCAAUUCGACUGUAUUUUUUUUUUUUUUUUUUUUUUUUUUUAUGUAUGUUACAUCAGAACUUUUGACCGGGUAGACCGAUUUCGACAAAUUUUAUUUUAAUCGAAAGGUGGUGUGUGCCAAUUGAUCCCAUUUAAAUUUAUUUGAGAUCUAACAACUACUUUCCGAGCUAUAUCUAAUAAUGCGUUUUUACUUGACGCUUUUUUCGUCGUCCUACGUUGUAUUAUACCGCAUAACUUUCUACUGGAUGUACCGAUGUUGAUAAUUCUUUUUUUGUUGGAAAGGAGAUAUCCCAAGUUUAGUACCAUGAUAAGGAAACCAGGAUCUGAUGAUGGGAUCCCAGAGAAAUUGAUGGAAA